RNAcentral lists this long non-coding RNA (922 nucleotides) under Glycine max (soybean). RNAcentral's name for it is "long non-coding RNA (GMAX_LNC002404)". The record is from RNAcentral. Lineage: Eukaryota; Viridiplantae; Streptophyta; Magnoliopsida; Fabales; Fabaceae.
UGGAGAUAAAGAAGCUUGAGGAUUACAAAAGAGGAGAGGUGGGGGUGUAUGAGGAAUAGAGAUUCUAGUUUAUAUAUCAUGGGUCAUAUAAAGAGGUCCAUUCACACCCACUUCCAUUCCAAAAGGGGGGGGGGGGGGGGGUCUAAAGGGUGUUUUUGAAGAAGUGGAGGAUGUGAUUUUUCAUUAGGGGAAUAAUAUUAGAGAAGGAUCUUCUAUCUUCUCUAUGGUACAAUUGCACACCCAAUGCCUUACAACAGGGGAUCCAUGAGGAUAUGUUGUUGCUUUGAGAAGUAUAAAAUGCGACCCUCGAUUCAAAUUUUCUUCUUUUUUCCCCCACUAUGACAGCUAUUCAUUUUCUCAUUUUCAGCAUGUGAGAUUCCUCCACAUUUUUAUACAAUAUACGUGGUCUUCUUUUGUGUCUCUGGCAUGCUCGUCCUCUUGAUACUUACUAGUUGAUGUGAGACAUUAUGGCACAGGUUUGUGGUCUGAGGUGAAAGUCCGAAAUAUUAAUUUGUGCUUCUGGUGUUGUUUAGAGCCACUUCAAUGCAUGACGUUACCAACUCAAACGGCUCAUUUUAAAAAGGAAUUUUUGUCGUCCGAUCACAAACAGAUGAGUUUCACUGGAGAUAAGACAGGCCUGGACAAUGAUUUUUUUUUCUUUCAAGAGAGAAAAAUAUAUCUCUAUUAUAAUAUUAAUAAUAAUAAUUAAAAUUCAAAAUGGGUGUCCCGAGGAGAUAAAUACUUAUUUUUUCUUCCAUGCAUAGAGUCCAUGUUUAAUAUACACAUGCACGUUGAAAAAAGAAUUUUUUGUCUUUACAAGUAUGUUUGGUUGGACAGAAAAUAAAAAGAAAAAAAAACACAUAAUUAAAUGAUGAAGUAUUUUUUCCAUUUAGUUAGAGAGAAAGGAAAAGGAAAAGAAAGG